RNAcentral lists this ribosomal RNA (274 nucleotides) under uncultured bacterium. Its description in RNAcentral is "partial 16S ribosomal RNA". It matches the Rfam family "Bacterial small subunit ribosomal RNA", at positions 523 to 796 of the family's 1533-position model. The record is from RNAcentral.
AUACGGAGGGUGCGAGUGUUAAUCGGAAUUACUGGGCGUAAAGCGUGCGUAGGCGGUUUGUUAAGUCAGAUGUGAAAGCCCUGGGCUCAACCUGGGAACUGCAUUUGAAACUGGCGGGCUAGAAUAUAGUAGAGGGAAGUGGAAUUCCGGGUGUAGCGGUGAAAUGCGUAGAUAUCCGGAGGAACACCAGUGGCGAAGGCGGCUUCCUGGACCAAUAUUGACGCUGAGGUACGAAAGCGUGGGUAGCAAACAGGAUUAGAAACCCCAGUAGUCC